Cydia fagiglandana is the source of this 181-nucleotide long non-coding RNA. RefSeq lists it as uncharacterized. The transcript has 3 exons. Lineage: Eukaryota; Metazoa; Arthropoda; Insecta; Lepidoptera; Tortricidae. The record is from RefSeq and is a predicted model, not a curated record.
CUACACUUCUACAGCACCCAAUAUCAAGUGUUGCAAAGAAAUGUUUCGUAAAUUUCUGUUUUCUGUCUUAUUGGUGAUGGUAAUCGUUUUAUCGAUGGUCAACGCACUUCCUGCACCUCAGAUCUUCGUAGUUGAUGGUUUUGACGAAAAGGACACAGAAAUGAGCGCAUGACGAUUGGAA